This 531-nucleotide ribosomal RNA is filed under the name Ischyromene huttoni. Its description in RNAcentral is "partial 16S ribosomal RNA". It matches the Rfam family "Archaeal large subunit ribosomal RNA", at positions 1891 to 2691 of the family's 2987-position model. The record is from RNAcentral. Lineage: Eukaryota; Metazoa; Arthropoda; Malacostraca; Isopoda; Sphaeromatidae.
UCGCCUGUUUUUCAAAAACNUCGNUGNUAAAUUCUAUCNGUWAGAUCUGCCCAGUGAACUUUUAACGGCCGCAGUAUUUUAACUGUGCUAAGGUAGCAUAAUCAUUAGUUUUUUAAUUGAGAACUCGUAUGAACGAUUCGACGAGACACCUCCUCUCUUAAUAAUUGUCUUAACUUGCUUAAAAAGUUAAAAAGCUUUUUAAACCCAAAUGGACGACAAGACCCUAUAAAACUUUACUUUUAAAAAGUUAAAUGUUUUAGAAAUUUUUCAUCUCCUAAAAGUUUUGCUGGGGCGGCUUGUUCUAAUUAAAAACAAAACACACUCUAACAAAUUAAUUGAUAUUCAUAAACAUUGCAAAGUAAUUAAGACCAAGUUACUUUAGGGAUAACAGCGCAAUGUGCUUUUAGAGCUCUUAUCGACAAGCACGAUUACGACCUCGAUGUUGAAUUGAAAUACCUAAGUGAAGCAGACCUUACUAAAGGAAGUCUGUUCGACUUGUAACUUUUUACAUGAUUUGAGUUCCAAACCGGA